UACGUAGGGCGCAAGCGUUGUCCGGAAUUAUUGGGCGUAAAGAGCUUGUAGGCGGUUUGUCGCGUCUGCUGUGAAAAUCCGGGGCUCAACCCCGGACUUGCAGUGGGUACGGGCAGACUAGAGUGUGGUAGGGGAGACUGGAAUUCCUGGUGUAGCGGUGGAAUGCGCAGAUAUCAGGAGGAACACCGAUGGCGAAGGCAGGUCUCUGGGCCACUACUGACGCUGAGAAGCGAAAGCAUGGGGAGCGAACAGG
Molecule: ribosomal RNA, 253 nt
Filed under: uncultured bacterium
Lineage: Bacteria
Description: partial 16S ribosomal RNA
Rfam family: Bacterial small subunit ribosomal RNA
Source: RNAcentral